UUAAAGUAGUUAUAACUGCACCUGUAAUAAACAUGUUAAUAUUUGAUUAUGAUAACCCCUAUAAUAUAAAUUAUAACAUAAUGCCAGCAGCUUCAAUAAACACUUUGAUGAAAUGAUAAUUAAUACAAUGUUAAGGAUGGUGGUUAUAUACAGUUCAGCAGUGACCUAAUUUCUUUAAAUAUUACAAUGACAAAGGGGUGUUUAGAAGUGGUGUUUCAGUACUGCUGAUUGGUAAACAUUUAGAUUAGUCGGUGACCAGGAAAUACAAAAGAUUGAUAUAAAUGUUGAUGUUGCUGAUUAAAUUCUUGUACUUGUAAUGCAGUCUUAGAGGUGGCAAAGAUAAGAUCGUAAGAUCAAGCUUUUAUAUUUGAGGCAAUUAGCCAAAAUAAAGCCCAUCUUAUUGUAGCCGGAUGGGCUACUCGCCUUUCUUUUCUCUCUCUUGCUCGCUCGCUCUACUGCUCUCUCCUGCGCUCGCUCUCACUGCAAAACUAGGUCAAUUGGGAACCCACCUGCAUACUGAUUGCAGGCUGGCAUCAGGUAUAAAGCUAAGCUGGUGCUUCUCUGGACCAUUCCUCCCAUGCAUUCAGCGCAAAGCAGCAGUAAAUGCUGGCACUCUGCGACGGACUGAUCAGCAAGAGUAGAUCGUAUGACAGCCACAGCGCGGCAGGUUGUUUUAUUCCGGCGUUGCUUAGAGAGGUGCUUGUGUGAUCCUCCACCAGUGAGAGUAUAGCGCCUCCGGUCCUGGGGGUUUGAUCGCUGCCUUCACCUCCGUGGCAACUCACACAGCUUUAAUUGAAGAAUCAAGACGCCUGCCUAGCCGCUGUUGUGAGGACUCCUCCUCAGUGGAGCCUGCUGUCUUGUCUUGUCUGGUUUUGAAUUGUUUUAUCGUGCCUUAUCUUGUUUUAUUAAGUAGGCCUACCAUUUCCUGGUUCGCCUGGUUUUAUUUUAUCUCUGGACUGUUGCGUGUGCCCACGCUUCUGUGAUCGGGCUGAAGCAAUCCUUUGCCCGAGUGUCG
Molecule: long non-coding RNA, 1015 nt
Organism: Oreochromis aureus
Lineage: Eukaryota; Metazoa; Chordata; Actinopteri; Cichliformes; Cichlidae
Exons: 3
Source: RefSeq, a predicted model, not a curated record